This 492-nucleotide ribosomal RNA is filed under the name uncultured bacterium. RNAcentral's name for it is "partial 16S ribosomal RNA". It matches the Rfam family "Bacterial small subunit ribosomal RNA", at positions 29 to 507 of the family's 1533-position model. The record is from RNAcentral.
AGUGAACGCUGGCGGUAGGCCUAACACAUGCAAGUCGAACGGCAGCACAGUAAGAGCUUGCUCUUACGGGUGGCGAGUGGCGGACGGGUGAGGAAUACAUCGGAAUCUACUUUUUCGUGGGGGAUAACGUAGGGAAACUUACGCUAAUACCGCAUACGACCUACGGGUGAAAGCAGGGGAUCUUCUGACCUUGCGCGAUUGAAUGAGCCGAUGUCGGAUUAGCUAGUUGGCGGGGUAAAGGCCCACCAAGUCGACGAUCCGUAGCUGGUCUGAGAGGAUGAUCAGCCACACUGGAACUGAGACACGGUCCAGACUCCUACGGGAGGCAGCAGUGGGGAAUAUUGGACAAUGGGCGCAAGCCUGAUCCUGCCAUACCGAGUAGGUGAAGAAGGCCUUCAGGUUGUAAAGCCCUUUUGUUGGGAAAGAAAAGCAGCAGAUUAAUACCCAGCUGUUCUGACGGUACCCAAAGAAUAAGCACCGGCUAACUUCGUG